RNAcentral lists this ribosomal RNA (277 nucleotides) under uncultured bacterium. RNAcentral's name for it is "partial 16S ribosomal RNA". It matches the Rfam family "Bacterial small subunit ribosomal RNA", at positions 524 to 794 of the family's 1533-position model. The record is from RNAcentral.
UACGUAGGGUGCAAGCGUUAAUCGGAAUUACUGGGCGUAAAGCGUGCGCAGGCGGUCUUGCAAGACAGAUGUGAAAAUCCCCGGGCGUUAGCCUGGGAACGUGCAUUUGUUGACUGCAAGGCUGGAGUGCGGCAGAGGGGGGAGUGGAGUUCCGCGUGUAGCAGUGAAAUGCGUAGAUAUGCGGAGGAACACCGAUGGCGAAGGCAAUCCCCUGGGCCUGCACUGACGCUCAUGCACGAAAGCGUGGGGAGCAAACAGGAUUAGAUACCCCAGUAGU